Molecule: non-coding RNA, 45 nt
Organism: Schistosoma haematobium
Lineage: Eukaryota; Metazoa; Platyhelminthes; Trematoda; Strigeidida; Schistosomatidae
Source: Rfam
AUCUAGCUGACGAGUCCAAGAUAGGACAAAAUGCGCAUCUUGGAU